This 298-nucleotide ribosomal RNA is filed under the name Ehrlichia canis. Its description in RNAcentral is "partial 16S ribosomal RNA". It matches the Rfam family "Bacterial small subunit ribosomal RNA", at positions 61 to 339 of the family's 1533-position model. Lineage: Bacteria; Pseudomonadati; Pseudomonadota; Alphaproteobacteria; Rickettsiales; Anaplasmataceae. The record is from RNAcentral.
CAACCUGCGCAGCCUACCAUGCACCGUCGAACGGACAUUAUUUAUAUAGCCUCUCCGGCUAUAGGAAAUUGUUAGUGGCAGACGGGUGAGUAAUGCGUAGGAAUCUACCUAGUAGUACGGAAUAGCCAUUAGAAAUGGUGGGUAAUACUGUAUAAUCCCCGAGGGGGAAAGAUUUAUCGCUAUUAGAUGAGCCUACGUUAGAUUAGCUAGUUGGUGAGGUAAUGGCUUACCAAGGCUAUGAUCUAUAGCUGGUCUGAGAGGAUCAGCCACACUGGAACUGAGAUACGGUCCAGACUCC